Molecule: ribosomal RNA, 365 nt
Filed under: uncultured bacterium
Lineage: Bacteria
Description: bacterial SSU rRNA
Rfam family: Bacterial small subunit ribosomal RNA
Source: RNAcentral
GACGAACGCUGGCGGCGUGCCUAACACAUGCAAGUCGAACGAGGUCCAAGGAAGCUUGCUUCCUGAAGACCUAGUGGCGAACGGGUGAGUAACACGUGAGAAACCUGCCUCGGAGUGGGGAAUAACUCGGGGAAACUCGAGCUAAUACCGCAUACCUUCACAUGAUCGCAUGGUCGAGUGAAGAAAGAUUUCGCUCUGAGAGGGUCUCGCGGCCCUAUCAGCUUGUUGUGGGGUAACGGCCUACCAAGGCAACGACGGGUAGCUGGUUUGAGAGAACGAUCAGCCACACUGGGACUGAGACACGGCCCAGACUCCUACGGAGGCAGCAGUGGGGAAUCUUGCGCAAUGGGCGAAAGCCUGACGCA